UCCAGGCAGAAGUGCGGUGAUGUGGUCAUAAUUCACUGCAGCCCUGAACUCUGGGUACAAGCCAUCCUUUUGCCUCAGUCUCCCAACUAGCUGGGUCUAGAGGCAUGAGCCACCAUGCCCAGCUAAUUUUAAAAAAAAAGUUUGUAGACAUGGGGGUCUCACUAUGUUGCUCUGGCUGAUCUCAAAUUCUGGCCUCAAGUGAUCAUUCUGGCACAGGCUUUUAAAUUGCUACAAUUACAGGAAUGAGCCACCAUGCCUAGUAUAGAGUGUUAUAUUAUUUUCAAAGUCUUAUUCUGAGAGCCAUUUAUUGACUUU
RNAcentral lists this long non-coding RNA (315 nucleotides) under Homo sapiens (human). RNAcentral describes it as "non-protein coding lnc-ANKRD20A1-3:1". Lineage: Eukaryota; Metazoa; Chordata; Mammalia; Primates; Hominidae. The record is from RNAcentral.